GAUCAUGGCUCAGGAUGAACGCUGGCGGCGUGCCUAACACAUGCAAGUCGAACGAUGAAACCGCCCUCGGGCGGACAUGAAGUGGCGAACGGGUGAGUAACACGUGACCAACCUGCCCCUUGCUCCGGGACAGCCUUGGGAAACCGAGGCUAAUACCGGAUACUCCUCGCCCCCCUCCUGGGGGGCCCGGAAGGACCCACGACGGCGAAGGGAGUGGGGUCGGCGGCCCGACUUAGGUAGUAGGCGGGGUAACGGGCCCGACCUACGCCCGCCGAUGGGUAGG
RNAcentral lists this ribosomal RNA (283 nucleotides) under uncultured bacterium. RNAcentral describes it as "partial 16S ribosomal RNA". It matches the Rfam family "Bacterial small subunit ribosomal RNA", at positions 15 to 287 of the family's 1533-position model. The record is from RNAcentral.